AUACGUAGGUGGCAAGCGUUGUCCGGAAUUAUUGGGCGUAAAGCGCAUGUAGGCGGUGGUUUAAGUCUGUCGUGAAACUGCGGGGCUCAGCCCCGUAUGGCGAUGGAAACUGGACGGCUUGAGUGCAGGAGAGGAAAGGGGAACUCCCAGUGUAGCGGUGAAAUGCGUAGAUAUUGGGAAGAACACCGGUGGCGAAGGCGCCUUUCUGGACUGUGUCUGACGCUGAGAUGCGAAAGCCAGGGUAGCGAACGGGAUUAGAUACCCCGGUAGUCCUGGCCGUAAACGAUGGGUACUAGGUGUGGGAGGUAUCGACCCCUUCCGUGCCGGAGUUAACGCAAUAAGUACCCCGCCUGGGGAGUACGGCCGCAAGGCUUAAACUUAAAGGAAUUGACGGGG
Molecule: ribosomal RNA, 396 nt
Filed under: uncultured bacterium
Lineage: Bacteria
Description: partial 16S ribosomal RNA
Rfam family: Bacterial small subunit ribosomal RNA
Source: RNAcentral